Molecule: ribosomal RNA, 902 nt
Filed under: Clonostachys solani f. nigrovirens
Lineage: Eukaryota; Fungi; Ascomycota; Sordariomycetes; Hypocreales; Bionectriaceae
Description: LSU rRNA
Rfam family: Eukaryotic large subunit ribosomal RNA
Source: RNAcentral
UAGCAUAUCAAUAAGCGGAGGAAAAGAAAACCCAACAGGGAUUGCCCCUAGUAACGGCGAGUGAAGCGGCAAACAGCUCAAAUUUGAAAAUCUGGCGCAAGCCCGAGUUGUAAUUUGUAGAGGAUGUUUCUGGCGACGCGCCUUCCGAGUUCCCUGGAACGGGACGCCAUAGAGGGUGAGAGCCCCGUACGGUUGGAUGCCUAGCCUCUGUGAAACUCCUUCGACGAGUCGAGUAGUUUGGGAAUGCUGCUCUAAAUGGGAGGUAUACGUCUUCUAAAGCUAAAUACCGGCCAGAGACCGAUAGCGCACAAGUAGAGUGAUCGAAAGAUGAAAAGCACUUUGAAAAGAGGGUUAAAAAGUACGUGAAAUUGUUGAAAGGGAAGCGUUCAUGACCAGACUUGGGCAGGUUGAUCAUCCGUGGUUCUCCGCGGUGCACUCUGCCUGCCCAGGCCAGCAUCAGUUCGCUCCGGGGGAUAAAGGCUCUGGGAAUGUGGCUCCUUCGGGAGUGUUAUAGCCCACUGCGUAAUACCCUGGGGUGGACUGAGGUUCGCGCUCUGCAAGGAUGCUGGCGUAAUGGUCAUCAACGACCCGUCUUGAAACACGGACCAAGGAGUCGUCUUCGUAUGCGAGUGUUCGGGUGUCAAACCCCUACGCGUAAUGAAAGUGAACGUAGGAGAGAGCUUCGGCGCAUCUCCGACCGAUCCUGAUGUUCUCGGAUGGAUUUGAGUAAGAGCAUACGGGGCCGGACCCGAAAGAAGGUGAACUAUGCCUGUAUAGGGUGAAGCCAGAGGAAACUCUGGUGGAGGCUCGCAGCGGUUCUGACGUGCAAAUGCGAUGCGUCAAAUAUGGGCAUGGGGGGCGAAAGACUAAUCGAACCUUCUAGUAGCUGGUUUCCGCCGAAG